UACGUAGGGUGCGAGCGUUAAUCGGAAUUACUGGGCGUAAAGCGUGCGCAGGCGGUGAGCUGUGUCCGAUGUGAAAGCCCCGGGCUUAACCUGGGAAUGGCAUUGGAAACUGGCUCGCUGGAGUGUGGCAGAGGGGGGUGGAAUUCCUGGUGUAGCAGUGAAAUGCGUAGAUAUCAGGAGGAAUACCGAUGGCGAAGGCAGGUCUCUGGGCUGACACUGACGCUCAUGCACGAAAGCGUGGGGAGCAAACAGG
RNAcentral lists this ribosomal RNA (253 nucleotides) under uncultured bacterium. Its description in RNAcentral is "partial 16S ribosomal RNA". It matches the Rfam family "Bacterial small subunit ribosomal RNA", at positions 524 to 776 of the family's 1533-position model. The record is from RNAcentral.